Molecule: ribosomal RNA, 468 nt
Filed under: uncultured bacterium
Lineage: Bacteria
Description: partial 16S ribosomal RNA
Rfam family: Bacterial small subunit ribosomal RNA
Source: RNAcentral
GACGAACGCUGGCGGCGUGCUUAACACAUGCAAGUCGAACGGAAAGGCCCUGCUUUUGUGGGGUGCUCGAGUGGCGAACGGGUGAGUAACACGUGAGUAACCUGCCCUUGACUUUGGGAUAACUCCAGGAAACUGGGGCUAAUACCGCAUAGGAGCUCCUGCUGCAUGGUGGUGGUUGGAAAGUUUCGGCGGUUUGGGAUGGACUCGCGGCUUAUCAGCGUGUUGGUGGGGUAGUGGCUUACCAAGGCUUUGACGGGUAGCCGGCCUGAGAGGGUGAACGGCGACAUUGGGACUGAGAUACGGCCCAGACUCCGACGGGAGGCAGCAGUGGGGAAUAUUGCACAAUGGGCGGAAGCCUGAGGCAGCAACGCCGCGUGCGGGAUGACGGCCUUCGGGUUGUAAACCGCUUUCGCCUGUGACGAAGCGGGAGUGACGGUAAUGGGUAAAGAAGCACCGGCUAACUACGUG